RNAcentral lists this ribosomal RNA (466 nucleotides) under uncultured bacterium. RNAcentral describes it as "partial 16S ribosomal RNA". It matches the Rfam family "Bacterial small subunit ribosomal RNA", at positions 28 to 507 of the family's 1533-position model. The record is from RNAcentral.
GACGAACGCUGGCGGCGCGCCUAACACAUGCAAGUCGAACGAGCGAGAGGAGGUUUACUUUCUCAAGCGAGUGGCGAACGGGUGAGUAACGCGUGAGGAACCUGCCUCAAAGAGGGGGACAACAGUUGGAAACGACUGCUAAUACCGCAUAAGCCCACGACCCGGCAUCGGGUAGAGGGAAAAGGAGCAAUCCGCUUUGAGAUGGCCUCGCGUCCGAUUAGCUAGUUGGUGAGGUAAUGGCCCACCAAGGCGACGAUCGGUAGCCGGACUGAGAGGUUGAACGGCCACAUUGGGACUGAGACACGGCCCAGACUCCUACGGGAAGCAGCAGUGGGGAAUAUUGCACAAUGGGGGAAACCCUGAUGCAGCGACGCCGCGUGGAGGAAGAAGGUCUUCGGAUUGUAAACUCCUGUUGUUGAGGAAGAUAAUGACGGUACUCAACAAGGAAGUGACGGCUAACUACGUG